AGUAGUAUUACUAUAACAAACUGAUGUAUAAUGGCGGUUUGAAUAAAUCAGAGAAACUCGUUUAUUAAUCGACAACACCCGCUAAAUUUCACUUAAUAUAAAAGUCUAUAUACCUCCGUUUCAGAGCUUAUUAUAAUAUAAAGCCCCACCACUACUAGCUAUAUAAAAAAUCAGGUCAAGGUGUAGCCCACAAUUAAGAUAAAAUAAGUUACAUUAAAAAUAAUUUAAGGAUAGAAGAAACAAUUCUAAAAAGAAAAAGAAUUUAACAGUACAUUAGAUUAAAAUUUUGAAUAGAACUAAAAAAUUCAAACGC
This 313-nucleotide ribosomal RNA is filed under the name Belisana sp. Tai4. Its description in RNAcentral is "partial 12S ribosomal RNA". The record is from RNAcentral. Lineage: Eukaryota; Metazoa; Arthropoda; Arachnida; Araneae; Pholcidae.